UACGGGGGGAGCAAGCGUUGUUCGGAUUUACUGGGCGUAAAGGGCGCGUAGGCGGCGUGACUAGUCACUUGUGAAAUCUCCGGGCUUAACUCGGAACGGUCAAGUGAUACUGUCGUGCUAGAGUACAGAAGGGGCAACUGGAAUUCUCGGUGUAGCGGUGAAAUGCGUAGAUAUCGAGAGGAACACCUGCGGCGAAGGCGGGUUGCUGGGCUGAUACUGACGCUGAUGCGCGAAAGCCAGGGGAGCGAACGGG
This 253-nucleotide ribosomal RNA is filed under the name uncultured bacterium. RNAcentral describes it as "partial 16S ribosomal RNA". It matches the Rfam family "Bacterial small subunit ribosomal RNA", at positions 524 to 776 of the family's 1533-position model. The record is from RNAcentral.